Molecule: ribosomal RNA, 597 nt
Filed under: Saccharomyces cerevisiae (brewer's yeast)
Lineage: Eukaryota; Fungi; Ascomycota; Saccharomycetes; Saccharomycetales; Saccharomycetaceae
Description: eukaryotic LSU rRNA
Rfam family: Eukaryotic large subunit ribosomal RNA
Source: RNAcentral
AAUAGCUGAGGAAAAAGAACCAACCGGGAUUGCCUUAGUAACGGCGAGUGAAGCGGCAAAAGCUCAAAUUUGAAAUCUGGUACCUUCGGUGCCCGAGUUGUAAUUUGGAGAGGGCAACUUUGGGGCCGUUCCUUGUCUAUGUUCCUUGGAACAGGACGUCAUAGAGGGUGAGAAUCCCGUGUGGCGAGGAGUGCGGUUCUUUGUAAAGUGCCUUCGAAGAGUCGAGUUGUUUGGGAAUGCAGCUCUAAGUGGGUGGUAAAUUCCAUCUAAAGCUAAAUAUUGGCGAGAGACCGAUAGCGAACAAGUACAGUGAUGGAAAGAUGAAAAGAACUUUGAAAAGAGAGUGAAAAAGUACGUGAAAUUGUUGAAAGGGAAGGGCAUUUGAUCAGACAUGGUGUUUUGUGCCCUCUGCUCCUUGUGGGUAGGGGAAUCUCGCAUUUCACUGGGCCAGCAUCAGUUUUGGUGGCAGGAUAAAUCCAUAGGAAUGUAGCUUGCCUCGGUAAGUAUUAUAGCCUGUGGGAAUACUGCCAGCUGGGACUGAGGACUGCGACGUAAGUCAAGGAUGCUGGCAUAAUGGUUAUAUGCCGCCCGUCUUAA